UAAGCAUAUCAAUAAGCGGAGGAAAAGAAACCAACAGGGAUUGCCCUAGUAACGGCGAGUGAAGCGGCAAUAGCUCAAAUUUGAAAUCUGACGUCUUCGGCGUCCGAGUUGUAAUUUGUAGAGGAUGCUUCUGGGCAGCCACCGGUCUAAGUUCCUUGGAACAGGACGUCAUAGAGGGUGAGAAUCCCGUAUGCGACCGGAAAGGCACCCUCCACGUAGCUCCUUCGACGAGUCGAGUUGUUUGGGAAUGCAGCUCUAAAUGGGAGGUAAAUUUCUUCUAAAGCUAAAUACUGGCCAGAGACCGAUAGCGCACAAGUAGAGUGAUCGAAAGAUGAAAAGCACUUUGGAAAGAGAGUUAAAAAGCACGUGAAAUUGUUGAAAGGGAAGCGUUUGCAACCAGACUUGCUCGCGGUGUUCCGCCGGUCUUCUGACCGGUUCAUUCGCCGCGUUGCAGGCCAGCAUCGUCUGGGGCCGCCGGAUAAUACCUUGGUAAUGUAGCUCCCCUCGGGGAGUGUUAUAGACCAUUGUGAUGCGGCGCGUCCCGGGCGAGGUCCGCGCUUCGGCUAGGAUGUUGGCGUAAUGGUUGUAAACGGCCCGUCUUGAAACACGGACCAAGGAGUCUAACGUCUAUGCGAGUGUUCGGGUGUCAAACCCCUACGCGUAAUGAAAGUGAACGGAGGUGGGAACUUUAUUGUGCACCAUCGACCGAUCCUGAUGUCUUCGGAUGGAUUUGAGUAAGAGCAUAGCCGUUGGGACCCGAAAGAUGGUGAACUAUGCCUGAAUAGGGUGAAGCCAGAGGAAACUCUGGUGGAGGCUCGCAGCGGUUCUGACGUGCAAAUCGAUCGUCAAAUUUGGGUAUAGGGGCGAAAGACUAAUCGAACC
Molecule: ribosomal RNA, 882 nt
Filed under: Rachicladosporium americanum
Lineage: Eukaryota; Fungi; Ascomycota; Dothideomycetes; Cladosporiales; Cladosporiaceae
Description: eukaryotic LSU rRNA
Rfam family: Eukaryotic large subunit ribosomal RNA
Source: RNAcentral